GGCAAGAGCUCAAAUUUGAAAGCUGGCCCCUUCGGGGUCCGCGUUGUAAUUUGCAGAGGAUGCUUCGGGUGCAGCCCCCGUCUAAGUGCCCUGGAACGGGCCGUCAUAGAGGGUGAGAAUCCCGUCUGGGACGGGGUGUCUGCGUCCGUGUGAAGCUCCUUCGACGAGUCGAGUUGUUUGGGAAUGCAGCUCUAAAUGGGUGGUAAAUUUCAUCUAAAGCUAAAUACUGGCCGGAGACCGAUAGCGCACAAGUAGAGUGAUCGAAAGAUGAAAAGCACUUUGAAAAGAGAGUUAAACAGCACGUGAAAUUGUUGAAAGGGAAGCGUUUGCGACCAGACUCGCCCGCGGGGUUCAGCCGGCAUUCGUGCCGGUGUACUUCCCCGUGGGCGGGCCAGCGUCGGUUUGGGCGGCCGGUCAAAGGCCCUCGGAAUGUAUCACCUCUCGGGGUGUCUUAUAGCCGAGGGUGCAAUGCGGCCUGCCUGGACCGAGGAACGCGCUUCGGCUCGGACGCUGGCGUAAUGGUCGUAAAUGACCCGUCUUGAA
This 543-nucleotide ribosomal RNA is filed under the name Aspergillus fumigatus. RNAcentral describes it as "eukaryotic LSU rRNA". It matches the Rfam family "Eukaryotic large subunit ribosomal RNA", at positions 100 to 658 of the family's 3401-position model. Lineage: Eukaryota; Fungi; Ascomycota; Eurotiomycetes; Eurotiales; Aspergillaceae. The record is from RNAcentral.